RNAcentral lists this long non-coding RNA (401 nucleotides) under Malus domestica (apple). RNAcentral's name for it is "long non-coding RNA (MDOM_LNC012343)". Lineage: Eukaryota; Viridiplantae; Streptophyta; Magnoliopsida; Rosales; Rosaceae. The record is from RNAcentral.
CUCUAGCUAUCGAGUCAUUACAUCUGAUUAUCCUUACCUUCUCUACUUUGAACCUCUUCACAUAGUCACGAAGCGACUCCUUUGGGUUCUUCUUGAUGUUGAACAAGUGGUCGGACUUCUUCUUGAUCGAGCAAUAUGAUGAAUAUUCUUUGGUGAAAACCAAAGAAAGUUCGUCGAAACUCCGGAUGGAUUAUGACGGCAGGGUGUGGAACCAAUCUUAUGUCUCGCCUUGUAGAGUGGUGGUGAAUAUCUUGCAUAUGAGAUCGUUGUUGUUUCAAUAGAGGAUCAUUAGCUUCGGUAGUGCUUUAGGUGUCUCUCCGGGUCGUCAUCUCUUUUAAAUGAUGUGAAAUGUGGCAUGCUGAACUUGCAUGGAGGCUCUGCCUGCUCGAUCUUGUCCGUGA